GUAGACUUUUUAACAUAAAAUUUCAAUAUUUUGUAGAUUGUUUUCAAUUUAUUAGUAGUGUUUUUUUUAUCUUUACAGUAUAUGUUUUUCUUCAUAAUACGACAAUGAUGUGAAGGCAAGAGGGGUAAUCGAGUACGACACGUAAAAAGGAACUACGAGAGCGUCUUGCGGGACGACAACAGAGAGGAAUCGUGCGGAUGGACGUAACGAGACAGGAAAUCACACCAAAGUAAUAGGAGACGCCACGAAAGCGACAUAAAGUGACACGCGAGACAUGCGAAGUAUCGCGAAGUGGCACAGCAUUGAUACUAAACAAUGUGUGAUGUGAUGCGCGACGUAGGAAUAACACGGGAGAAGCGAGGCGAUGCAGCAAGGAUAGCGAUGACACAAAAUAUCGCGAUGCAGUAGCAUGAGUGACGCUAGAUGAUAUGACGAUGACACAGAGCGUGGUUUGUUUUACAGCAUGAUAGUUGCGUUGCGAUAUAGAGCGAAUCGACAAAAAGGAGAAUUAAAUUUCGGCAGGUCGAUUUCUCGUCCUUAGAGAGAUCAAGAACUAUCGAUUGAACAAAUUGACUUCGAAUAGAUUGGUAAAGAAAAGGUACUACAAUAAACUAAUUAAAUUUUUAAGUAAAUAAAACAAUUUGUGUGAAAAAGAGUGUUAUGUUUUUAUUUCCAGAAUUUUUUAUUUCUCUGCGGGCAAAAAAUAUAUGACGCGGCGCAAAGUUCUUAUGUCUCCUCGCUUUCAGCGAAAUAAUGGCAAGGAGGUAAUACGAUACGCAAACGAAUAUUCGCAUCGCGGGCAGAUCGGUGACACUUGUCGAGCAAUGACUUUAUCGGUCGAUCAUUACAAUAGUGAGAAAUGAAAUGAACGAAGAAUCCGGCGGCCGGCCGAGGAGGACACGCGUGGCUGCGAGUACGCAUUAAGUUGGCGACGAUUUGCAUACGCUGUGUAUUUGCAUAAGCCGCUCACGGAACAUACACACAAGCAGAUCGAACAAUCGUGCCGCUUGCAUAAUAUUUGCAUGGACGAUCGCCGCGUCACUCGCCGCACCGCGCCGUCCGUAUACAUCCCGAUCGAGGAGAAUCAUCCCCGAGCCGAAAUCACGCACGCGCGCGCUUAUCCGGAAAGUGUGCGUCUCAAUAAGGGUGAGAGAGAUCGGCGCUUAUACUAAUUCACGCUAACACUCGAUUCUAUCUUUGCCGCAGGAAGUUCGCAGGAAGUGCACGGGAAUGUGUGCUUGUUCUAACUCUCCGUGGGCCGCGACUACAGCGAGGAAACCUCGCGUGUACGUAGAUCGUGAGAUCCAUAGAUCCGUAGGUUUUGAUACGCGUAUCAAGGUCCGUAGGUUGCGGAAUUCAUGGAUGCUUGCUGCACACUAUGCCUGGGCGUGUGUAAAUUAAUUGAUUCAUGCUUCUAUAAAAUCGUAGGCACGCUUAUACUAUACGCCAGUAACGAGGCAAUACUUUUUCAGUUUUAUUAUUCAUGAUUUCCAUUUUCUCAUGUCAUAAUAUUAUAUUGCAAAUAAUCCUCCGCAAAAUUAUGUCUACGGCGUAUUCGAUAUCUGCCAGAGAUCUGAAAAUAUGAUUUCCGACGAGAGUUCUUCGGGCCUUAUACUCGCGAGACUACCCAGAUUAGAUCAACGAGGCGCAUCCGAUUACCGAGGUCGUUAACAACGCCUUUGUCCGUGACGUGGUCGCGUCACAAUAAAAUAUUUUGUCGGGGCGUUCCCAAUUUUCCGCGGUCCGCGAGAGCGUUUGAUUUACAAAUCGAACGAUAAUUCGCUCGUCCUCCGGGCUUGUCCUGCCAGAGGAGGAGCACAAAGGGAAAGCCCGGGGUGCCAUCCCCGUGUACCACAACUCACCCGCCGGUAAAUCCCUUUUGUACUCUCACAUCGGGUCGGGUUUGCCGGCUUCGCGGGAAACGAUAUCGACGAGCCGUUUUAAGUGCGCGGAAUCCUUACUCUCCUCUCAACGUGUACAAAUGUACCAAUCGACGGAGAAAACUCGACGAUGUCGAGGGCCGGUCGCCACGUUACUUCUCUUUGCAAACACGUUGCCGUAGCUUUUAAUCACUUUCGAUACUCGACACGCAGACGCGCCGCCGUUCGAUACUUGCGAGAAAAUGGAUAUCGUGAAGCUCACUUUAAUCGCGGAAGUGCCUGCCUAGAGAUUAAAAGUACGUUAAUGCGUUAUUACAGCCGUGCUGCUUGUACUACGUAAUUAAUUGUCAAUUACGCGAAUCACCCACAACGACAACGGCGAAUCGAUAUAGAAGGCGCGAGCAAUUACAUAAGUAAAGGCUCCAGAUUAUUUACGGUGCAUCAACGAUCGAUAAUUAUGCAAAUAAGUAUUUUUCAAGGCGUCCUACGGAUUAAUAAUUGUCGGCGCGUACGAUCGAUCACGAUUUACUUACCGCGAGGUUAGCCGAGUGCGUUCGAUUUCUCCGGCAGUAAAACUCUCGCGAUUCAACUCGCGCGUUUUGCUCGAGUCGAGGAGGAAGCCACUCACCGUGGCGUGCAAACAGUUAUAUCCGGCUUGCCCGCGUAUCGUCUGAAAAGCGUGUAACGCAUGCAAGUGCCGGCUCGCGCGCGCAGAUUGUCCCCCUUGCUGCGGAAUCAUCCCCUUAAUUAAUCCCUAUUUAGGCAAUCGAUUUUGUUUAAGGACGACCUCGCAAGGGAACUGACAUGGAAAUUAUUUUGGUCACGAAAACGGCUCGUAUAUACGACCGAGAAUACGUACUCGUCAGGGGGAGAUUAUUUCGCUCGAAGAACGAUGGAGAAAGAGAUUGCAGAGAAGAGACUGAAAAAAGAGACGAAAUGUAGACAUCAAGGACCAAAAAUAAAAAUUUUAUUCCUUUAUUUAAUCAUGUCACACUUUGCACGUCGGAAGUACAAAAGUCAACCUACAUAAGACAUGCAGUUAUUUUAAAAGGCUCUAACUUUGAUACCAGCAAUUUUUAAGCGCGGACUUAGUCUUUAGGGAGCUUAGAUUCUCCUCUUGGGUUUAUCGUCCCUAUCAACCCUUUAUCGUUCGUUCUUAUCGUCUCGGCGUGGUCUUUAUCUCCGACCCUAGGCGACGACGAAUCGUGGAGAGAAGACUUGUGGUGAUUAAAAUUUCAGAGAAGCGAAUCACGAGAGAGAUGUUCGGUUAGAGAGCUAAGCUCCUAAGAAGAAAGGCCAAAAGGGUCAAAAAGGUCCGGUGUACGCACUAACUGAGUAAGUAAUUAAAGUCUACUACAAUUUUUGACUUUUCGUAAAAGAACGAUUCGCCUUUGGAGUCUUGUAAGGCAAAAGUUCGUAAAACUUUUUUUGUCCUGAACCUUUUUUGUCUGACGGUUUAUUUUGAAAUUAUUCAGCUGUUUAUACGGCUCGGGUUUGUUAUCUUAUAGUGUUUAGGAUAUUUUUCUUGGGUCCAGACAUAGCCCCAACUCUAAACAAUGUUACGAGAUAAUACAAAGACGAGAGACCAGUACACAUACAAAUAUCUCGAGAGCAUUACGGUUUUAUCUGCCUGACAGCAGGACAUAAAACAAUCUUCUCUCUCUUUUUUUUUUCCCAAAAGAUGUGAGUCAUCAAUUAUCGAAACAUUUUCGUGAACACGCGUAGAUAAAAUGAGUUUUAAAACUGACAUCUUUGUAUAUACGGUUCCGCAUUUGUUUGGAAAUUGCAUCGUACACUAAAUGAGACGUUAUAGCACAUUCGAUUCGAUUUAUUUCAAAUUACUUUCUUCAUUAGCUGAUGCUGCCGAGCGCAGCGAAUGAAAAUCUUGCCCGAAUAAAAACUCGGGACUGUAAAUCACAGCGAUGGACGCUCUUGCGGGAUAACGAUGCAAAACAGGAGUCGAAGAAACACGAGUAAAACGCCGUCGGAGAGAGGGUUAAGAAGGAGUCGUCGAUAAGUGCCCUCCUUCCCCCUUGAGAGUUGGAACAUCUCACUCAGCCCGCUCGUUCGUUCGGCAGGAUAACGAGGAGGAAGGCUCGCGUUCGCGCUUGUAUAUAGAUAUAUUGGGAAAUUCCGUUCUCGUGAGGAGACUGGGAUCGACGCCCACAUGCAACACAGAAACUACGUGCAGGCAUCUCGUCCGCGCCAUCCGAGCUCUUCAGGCGCAAGCGAGAAACUAACGGAGACAAUGGAUCCCGAAGUUAUGCCCCAAGAUCUUUAAUGCAAGCCAGGCUGCUCUGCCGCCGAUGCCACCUCGCUGUGAGAGCUAGCCCGCGGUGACUGGUGCAUCGUCACGUAAUGCUUAUGAAGCGAUUCUCUGUUACGAGAUCUCCGCACAGCGCUACGCCAUCCAUCGAAAGUACGGCAUCACGAAAGCACAUUUAUCACGGAACAGAAAAUAUGGAGAGCCCGAUUAUUCCUUGUAUAUUUUAAGAUGUAUGCAGGAGAUGAAUAAAAUAUCUCGGAAAUACUUUUUUAUUAAUAAUAAAAGUAAUAGAACGUUGCACUGACGACUAUUCAAACAUCGUAUGAUCUCGUUCCGUUGGUGAACAAGGAUAAAGGUAAAUAAUGGGCCAACCUCUUAUUAAUAAAAUAAGUGAUAUAUUAGAUGUUUACAUCACUUUCUCAAUCUCCUGUAUAUUUUAUCCCUUUUCUCUCAAGAGAAAGAGAGAGAGAGAGAGAGAGAGAGAGAGAGAGAGAGAGAGAGAGAGAGAGAGAGAAUAUGUGUAUGUGUGUUUGUGUUUGAGAAAUAUUUGAUCCACAGUAUGGCUGGGACGAGAUUCCGGUAUUCAUAAAUCUAAGGAUUUCUAAGAUUUAUGAAUCCAAUGUUCCUAAAUAUGUGACUGUAAAGUCGCAGGAAAUCGUUCCAAACUUUUCGAGAAUUCGAGACCACAAAUUUACAUACAAAGAUCCAAAAGUUAUAACUCUCGCCGAGCCAGAGCUCCAACAGUGCCACGGAAGUUAAAUCAUGCGAAGGUAGAGAUCUACUUCCAAUCAAUCGGAGGUGCUAUAUAAUUUCGAUUAACCGUUGCUUCUGAGUGCCAAGUCUCUCCAAUUACCACGCAUAAUCGACUCGAAUUCCACAGACAGGCGGACAGUCGUAAGAACGAAUGUACCGUUUGAUACACUAGUGUUUCACUCGAAUAGCCAGUGCUCGUAAUGAGGAUACGCGCACCCAGUAAAUUUGCUCGAGACAGUAAUAGACUACGGGACGUGAGGGGCGAUGAUGAGAGAGAAAGAGAGAGGGGGGGAAGGGGGGAAGAGAGAGACGCUCGCGGAUGCCAUAGACAUAACGCAGGUGGUGGCUUUAAAUGAUUACAACAUCGGUACCCUUUGAAUACGUUACAGUGACGCACUUAAUAAGAAUACAGCCGCGCGCGAGUUUUCGCAAUCACAUCAGAAGGAACGGCGCGAGUGUGCGAGACCGUGGAAAAAAAAUGCAUCGCGCGCGAAACAAUGGGAAGCCGUAACGAGCGGUGAAAAAAAAAAGAACGGCGUCGAUGAUCUUAUCGAUGCAACAGAAUCCGCCGCGAUUUCGGUAUUACGUACUGUUUUUCCCGAAAGAGCGAAUCACUUGAAAAAUUGUUUUUCUGCAAAUUUAUGUUGCCACGAUCUUAUCGUACCUGCAUUUAAUAUCGAUAUGUUAUUUCGUAGGCGAAAAUAUUAUUAAACGCUGGCAUUUUCGCACACUAGGAAGCGUUGAACGGCUAUAGUCGGGCAGAGCUGUGGUAUGCAGGUGCAGGAGCGGCGAUUCCGCAUCGUGAGACCGACAGGAAACCCGGGCGAACCGCUUCGCUUCCGACACGCUUCGUCGCAAGGCGAAGGCAGAGGCCCCGUAUAUUAAAACAAUCUCGCGUUAACCCUUUCGUGCUGGAAAACCUGACUUAAUCACCAACUAAAAAUAGUUUCCUUCGGAAGAACUCCUUCUUCGUUCCCUUCAUAACAUUUUACAAAAAGAUCGAUUGCGAGAUUGUUAUUAUAAAUAAUAAAAUCAGAUUUUACAGUUGACCAAAGUUUUCGUCGCGUUCUUCGAUUGCCUCCUUCAUGCAGACCGUAGUUCUAAUAUUGGCGACUCGAGAACGGCAAUCUUGCAAUCUUGCGAAUUUUUUUUUAGCUAGAAGCGCGCGACGUUACUAUCACUCCCGGCCACUUUCCGAGCCACGGGAUCGAUACGCCAAGUCGCCUGCGGAUUUGGGGACGGCCAAGAGGAAGUGGCACGGAUCGAGAUAUUGAAGAAGAACCGGAGGAAAGGGACGCGCAUGUGUCGCGUGUGCGAAUGCACUCGCUGACCUGGGUUAACAGCCCGUCAAGGGCUACAAUGCAACAUUGUUUCGUCCCGCGCCACCGACGGGAACGCGACGUGUUUGUUCCGUUCUCUUUUCCCUGUGGCUUAUUCGCGUAGUAGAGAAACAGGUCCUCCCGGCUUUCUCGCGCCACUUCUUUUCACUCUUCGUCGUUUCCUCUUCCACCUCGUUGCGCCCUCGUCGAACGAGUUUUCUGUUGGACAAUCGACGAAUAGUCCUGAGGACUCGAAAGGGAUAAGGUAUGGCCGUCGUACUUCGCAAACGAUGCGAUAUACUUGCGGAAUCGCUCGAUGUAUAUUUGGAAAUUUGUGCAAAAUUGAUUUAAUCCUCAUACGUAAAGUUACAUUUUAUACGUGUUUCCGUACAAAAAAUAAUGGCUUGUAAUGUAAAAUAUUUUACUCAAAGGCUAUAGAAUUUAUUGAAUGCCUAUGUUCCACCGGGAAUUUCUCAAUUAAAAUACUUUUGCCUCGCAACUUUGCGUCUUCCGUAUACGCGCGCAUGUGUGUGUAUGUGAGUGCGUUAGCCGAAAAAAUUCUGAUACUUAACCGUUGACAAUGCUUUCGGCUGGAAAACUACGUGCGUUGCCACGCAAGUCACAAAACGCGCUAUAAUUUCAUUAAAUGUCCCGUGAAGCAACGAAUAAUGCCGGGGAUUCGUCGCAACGCCACUAGCGCGUUUCAGGAGGCCGCGUUAAUAAUCGCCAACAAUUAACGCGCGAACUUUAACGGGCUCCUUGGAAAAUAUAGAGUCAUUCGUUUCCGCCAGUGACUCGUAAAUUCGACGCGUGCUUCUCCGGGCAAGAGGAACUAACGUAUUGCCAGCGACAGCGGAAUUCUCGUGACCGUCCCUGGACGAUGUUAUCGCCGGAAGCGAAGCAAUAUACUGUAGCAUUAUAGGCGAAAAAUUUACACGCGAUAAUCCGGUGGCAUGCAGCUCGCAAAACAAGAUUAUUUGAUUAAAAUAACAAUAACUUUUAAUGUGUUCUCAAAAACAGACUUCUUGAUGAACUUAACAUUUAAAAUCAUUGGUGAGUAAAGUAUUUAAAUUAUUUUAGAUUGAGUAAAAAAUUUAAUCUAAAUUUUACAAGUAUUAAUGCAGCACACAUCCAUAUAAAAUUCUGCUUUUUAAUAGGAUUAGAAAAGAUUUAAUUUUUAAUAGAAAUUUGAUCAAGACUUACUAUGCCGAAGCAUAUUUCAAUUGAAGAUAAACAACUUAAUUCACUUGUACCAAAAAAAAAAAGAAUAAUUCCAAAUUUAUCAAGAAAUUUAUUGUCCAUUAACGAACACAUGAUUACGGCCUUUUCUCCCGCGGUUGCAACGGAUUCAUUUUACUCGCAUCUUCCAUCAUCGCUGUACAUGGAAGUAAGAGUCAGUCUCGUGGCGAGGAACGCUCGCACGCUCGCUCGCGAGUCGCGUCGCGCCGCGCCGCGAGUCGUGACACAAUGUGAAACGAGCUUGUCCCUGGCCCAUAUAGCAUAGGUAAGCUCCAUCCGCGAUUGCGUAACCGCGGCCGAUAGUAGAACGCGCGAGUAGUCGCAACCGCGGCAUUUUCUAGCGUAUUGCAUACUUUGCGAGUGCACUGCAAUUGCAAUGCGAAGAAAAUUGAGGAACGAGACAAAAAGAAUUAAAAAUAAAUUACAAAUGUUUCGCUAUCAUCAUUUUGCAAAAAGAUGCUACAUUGAUACACAGUAAGAUGACUGAAAACCUAGAAAUGUCGACAUUUUAAUACUUUGAUUCUCUUGUUGGAAUAGAAGAUGUAUAUUCAUAAAAAAAUCAGUUUUAAAGUUUUCAUUCUAAGACCGACAGACAACUAUCCUAUUCUAAUUAGAGAUUUUUUUUAUUUUUCGACCGAUUCUACUACGCUAAUAUCCAAUAUAGAAAGUAUUAAAGCGAGUUGUGCUUGACUGUUACCUUGUUAGGAAUAGCUAAUGCUAUUCAGUUACUUUAACAAUAAUUUACAUUCUAUUUACACGCGUAAUAUUUCCUUAUUUCUGCUUGCACGUUGGUUAACAUCGUCCAAGGUAUUGGCUCGCUAUGGCAUCCCGUGUGGGUUGAAAUGUACGAAGGACAGAGAAUACACGUAUACUUUCGCAAGGUUUUCUAUGAAACCACUCGCGAAUAAAGGACAUAAAAUGUUGCUCGUGAUUUAAUAGCGACGAAGGCUCGUCUUCCUCGAUGCUCUCGGAAUGAUCAUAACUGAUAUGAUAUUAGAGAAAGUUCACGUGGUCACUUUUAAAGCUCAUAAUAUAAUUUACAACGCGAGCGACUAUACUUGGCCGCGUUCGUCGUUACUUAACCAUCACUUAACCCGCAAGUCUAACGUGUUCUUAAAUACAUCGGUGAAACGGUGAUUCGCGGAAUUAUUACACUCGCGGAGAAAUUUUACACCGCUAGGUGGAACGUGAAAUUCGCGAAUUACUCCUUUUGGACGGAUGCCACGACGACAAGCCAAAAUCGCGAAAUGCUAAAACCCCCAAUGCAUAGACUACACAUAAUAUUUCUCGUUAAAAGACAGGGUCCUUUUUAUCGAUAAAACAAUCAUCGCCUUAAAAGGCAAUUAAAUUAAAUUUGUAGCAUUUAAAUUUAUUUUACUGAAGUAAAUCUUCAUUUUGAUACAUAAAAUAAAGUUUUAUCUCUAAAUCUCAAAUUAACCAAUGAAUGCAAAAAAUAAAAUAUAUUUAACCAAUAAGUAUCAAAGAAAACGUCAGAAGUAACACUUGCUUGCUAAUAUUUCGACUUUUUUUCUCAGCGUACAUAAGCGAUAAAGAUGAUGGCUAAACUUUACGAUACAAGUACCGAAUUUGUAGAAAUGAAAAAAUACAAAAUGUUGAUAUUAUUAUGCGGCAUUUAAUACGAAAUUAGGCAGUCCUCAAUUAAUAUAUAUUAACAGCAACACCUGUCUCCUCGACCUUCCACAAUGAAUUAGAAUUAGCUCAUUUUCGCGAUUAUCACGCUCAAUCGCGAUAGAGCCAUAACCGAUGAGCCAAUCUCGUGAGUCACCAUAAUUCCAUUUGCCUCCACUUACUUCGUAAACUAAUAACAUGUUUUCAAUUUCGCUGUUAUAAUCGCGAUUUUCUUACAACGUUAAUCGUAUCGUGAUUGACCUGUGGACGAUGCAGUCUCGCCUCCGAUUAUACCCUGGAGAAUCCGAAGAAAUCUUUCUCAUACAAAUUAUUUAACAGCAAUUGCAUUCUAUGAGCAUGGUAAUUAUACGCGAUGCAUUGUUAUUACACCUGAAGCGCCAUUAUCACAUGUAUUUUUAAUGGUAGAUAUUGUUCGAGAGAUUUGAAUGUAAUUAAUACCGAUUUUAUCUUCCACAGGAAUAGGAUAUAUGCGGUGCUAAGCAUCGGGGAGAGGGAAAAAAAUUUAUCGCUGAAAUUCUGUUUGUUAGAGAACGCAGUAUCCUGUAUACAUGCACGAUCGUUAAGCACGUGUCGGCACAUUGAUAGAAUUGCUUCCGCGCUAAUUCUCGCCGAUUGUAGAUAACGAUUAAUCGUUUUUGUUCGGAUUUUUUUAUCUCGCACUUAUGCAUACGAUAAUUCACGACGUUGCGACGCGUAACCGCGGCCGAUCGGUCGAUAUAUGUAUUAUGUAACUUUAUUCCGUUACCUCGGCGAAGAGCGCACGUGUAACAAAACGAAUUAAUAAGCCAGACGAUCCUCAUUGCCGCAUUCAAAUACGCGCGAGCUCUCGACCGCGGAAAAUUUAUGACAGUGUAGUGAGACGUCAAGAGUUAUACCUCCUGAUCCCGAUCUCGCGAUGAUUCGUCGCGCGACUCGAGAAACGCAAACGCGUCUUUUAAGAUCUGCGAGAUCACACAGCUUGUUUCUCGCACGGUUCGUUUUUCGUUUCGCUUUUUCUAAUAGAGCGGCGAGAGUUAAUUGCACCGUGUGGAAUCUAGCCUGCUUAGAUGCGCGCAGGUGUGCGUGAACGAACAACAGUGGGAACACCACAACUAUAACAAGGUGUUUUAAACCUUCCUUAUUUCUGCACUUAACCCCUGAUAAUAUUAUGGUUCAAGUCGUUCGACGCUCUGAUUGGCACAACAGUAAAAUUAUUUCUCAAGAAUGUGUCGUAGAACGUGAUAAUCUAUAACAACAUGCAAAUAUUACGCAUAAAAAUAGAAUAUAAUCUAAAUAUCAGUAACUACAUGAAUAAAAAGUACACUUAAUAUAUACAACUACUGCAUAUAAUGUCAAAUAUUAUGAUAAAUAUUCUCAAUACAAAUUUGAAUAUAAUAAAAUAUUAAAUAUAAUAAUAUAAGAUCAAAAUAUUUUUAUCUUUUCACGGUGUAAAUAAAUCGUGAAUAAAAGAUGAUAUCUGAAUGACCCAAUGUUAUCAUACUCGAUUACGAAUUACGAUAUCGCAUCAUCUUCAUGGCACUUAAUGACGUACCGCAACAUCCUCCUCGCGCGUUUUGACAUUUAUUGUUCGCUUGAAUCAUCGUGAUCACUCGUAAUUCGCAAUCUUUCUACGAUUUGCGAAUUACCGCAAGAUGACAAAUAUCCUUGCGAGUCAUGGAAAUCGGUUUCCGUUUGACUUUUCUUCUUUCGCGGUAUAAAAUGCGAUUAGAAAUCAUUCUAUACAAUUUGUACGACUUAAUUAAGAAUGACGCAUCUUUUAUUCAUCACGCAUAAUGCAGUUUCACGUUCGACUCAUAAAAAAAUAACCACGGAUGAAAUGUAGAUUGCGUGGGUGUCAUAUAUUUUUCAUUCCCGAUUAUUUAUUUAAUAUUAAAUCUAAAAACUUUCAAGGAAUUAAUUCAAGAAUACGUACGAUUUUCUGUUAAACGGAAAGAUUUAAUUUAUCCAAAUUCAUUUUAAUAAAUAUUGGUAAAACGUUCGGAAAAUACAUUUUUCCAAGAUACUCGCAGCUAAGUGAACCUUGCAACAUGCUACGUACGGAUUAUCGUUUCCGCGUCAUUAAUAUUCACGGAAAUGACGUUCCCUGUGUUGUGGUACAACGCAAGUACGAGGAGCGAAGAUACUCGGCUACAAGGUGGAUGCCCGUUACGUGACCACUUUCGAUUUAAUUCAAGUCCAAGGCAACAGAGCAUUCCGUUUGCGAAGACAAGUUGUUCCGCGAAUGUCUAUAGCGCCGAUCGAAUAUUAAGCCGCGCAGCGCUCUCCCUUCGUUUCUCAUUCUCACACGGUUAUCGACCUUCGAAAUGCACUGCCGGAUAUCACAUGCGCUAUCAGCGGUAACACGCGAUCGAACAAAACAUAUAUCAGACUUCUCUUGGUCGCAUGCAAUACCAAGAAAAAUACUUUUUAUUCCCAUCCCCCGCAUUAGGCAUUUUAUCACCUGCGAUCUCUACGGUGUUAUGCGAUCUACUAUAAUUACAAAUUAUAAUCUUCUUUAUGAAUAUAUUUGUUAAAUAUCUUUUUUAAUUUGAAAAUAUAUAAAAAGGUAUAAUUUAAAACGUUUACCAUGUCCUUACAACUCUCUAAUUCGAUAAUUAAUAUUUUAUUCUGCAGCAAGUGUCUUUUUACGUAUCAUUUUACAUAUCGUUAAAAUGCAUAAAAUGUAUGCGGUAUGUAUUCGUUACUGUGUUGGCAUUUGCAAGUAUCAACAUUUCUAAAGCACCUAUCAAGUAGACGGUAUACCCUUACUAAAAUAUUAACGCUCCGAUGUGCGAUAUCAUUUAACAUCUGUAUCGAGUACUCAGUUUUAUCAAUGACAGAUAAAUUGUUCACGAAUACAUCUGUAGAACUUAUUUCUUCCAUGUAAUUAAUUAAGAAAACAGUUUCAGACAAAUAUUUAUAGAUUUAUUCGACAAAAAGAUUGAAAAAUCAUUCAAACGGGAGAUAUAAAAAAUUUACGACGUUCAUCCAUCGUUGACAAAUAUCAGCGAACGUGACAAUUUUUCGCGAAUUAAAAAUGCUUCGCCUCGAUGCGAGCGUUCAGUAUAAAUCGCGUUUCCUGCCGACCGGAGGAAAGCAGAAACCAUCGAGGAGAACGAGGGAGGUCCAACUUCUCCCGGCGGAGGUUUAGCCCGCUCUAAGUAGAAGUCUGGACACCAUCGCGCGGCCACGACGGAAGGUCAACGCACUUCGGCCAAGGACACAUUCUAGACCCACACACAGGGAUCUCCCUCGUAACGAAGCAUCGCCACACACGCACGCACUGACGUACGGCAUCGACUUGCACACAUCGAUCCGCUCGUAACGCGCCUGCUGCAGCUAUGCACCGCGCGUUCGUGUGCGAGUAAAGUAUGCACGCGUGCGUGCAUGCGUGCGUAUACCUGCGUAUGUGGCAGCGCGUGCGUGAAAGAAUCACCGUGAUAUAUUUGGUUGCCGAAGCGAAUACAGUGCACUGGUGCACGAUUUUUUUUUUCGAUUCCGAUAACGUUUCUAUUUUUUUUGCUUCGAUCUCAGUUUUAUAAAAAUUUCAUAAAGUUUUUGUUCAAUAUAAAUAUUUUUUUACGUCGGCUGUAUAUUAUUGUACUGUAUUUUUUUAGUUGUUCUCUACUCUUCUGCUCUUAUGUGAAAUUGCUUCGUCAAUUAUUUCAUUCGUAUAAACUUCAAAUCAAUGAAUCAUAUUAUGUAAGCAACGGAGUAACAUUGUGGUUUUAUAUGUAAUUCAUUAAUAAUAAUAAUUAUCAUUAAUGAAAUAUUCUUAUUGGCUUUCUAAUUUUUUAGCCAUUUUGUACAUUAAGAAAAAAAGUAACUGAUUCAACAAAAUUUUUUAGUUGCGGGCUGCCAACAAAAGAUAUAUUCAAUAUAUGGUACAAUAUAUGAUAUUGCAAUAUAAAUAUAUAGUCCAAUCAACGUUAUUGCAUUUGCAUUAACAGCAAAUAUUAUUGUAUUAAGUAUAUCUUUUGUUGGCAGCCCGCAACUAAACGUUUUGUUGAAUCAAUUACUUUUUUCUCAGUGUAUUAAAUAACAACAGUUAACUCUCAGAUCAUAUCUAAGACAUUGAAACUCGUAUCUGUCUACUCACUUCACCUGCGGGGUUAACUUGACUCUGAGUUUAAUCGAGCGAGUGCUAUCGGAAUUUACGAGACGGGUGAUAAGAAGCGGAUAGCAGAUAAAUAUAGGAAUCUUCGUUGGCGGAAUGUAAAUCAAUUGAAUUUUGAUGCACGAAUCGCAAUAAAAUGCGAUGCGAUUUUAUAGAGUACCUACUACGCGCCUACACGUACAGUGCGACAUUUAGUGCUAAUAAAUCUGUGUACCAUAAGAACAUUGUAGUAGUACGAUGUAUCGCCAUUAUGGCAGUGCCUAUACAAAGAUUAUUCGCGCGUUACCCUGCAAAAGAGAGGCGUUGCGCGUCGCGAUACGACGUACCUGUCUAAGAUCUGUCUAAAAUGCACCACCGGAAUAGAAGAAUGCACCGUCGAAAUACAUCGCGAAAAUCAAAAAAUUUGCACGUUUCGCAUAAACCGUAACGCGUAAGCGAGGUUACCGCCUUAUCUCCCCUCGUCGCACGAAAGAUGCAUAAAUCGCGUUACGGUUAUUCAGAAAAUACACGCGGCCUGAUACGCCGGAUUUUUCCCUGUAUCCGGCGGUACUUUUUCUGGUACACGUACGAUACGAACGUGCUAUGUGCUACCGACCUACACCGACCACGGGAGCGAGGCGGGGACAAAACGUGCUUCUGUCUGGAUGUUGAUAUGAAUAAUGUAUCGCACGGGGUCGCGGCACUGAGGGAUGGGAAAGGCGGGAACGGAGGGACGAAAGAGGAAAUUAGAGUUGGAUACGCACAGGAUUAUGAAGGCGGCGAUAUAUGGCCGUGUGUGCGAGAAGUACGGGAGGAGAAGGAAGAGAGCUCCCUCGGAGAAGUGGGAGGCCGUUCGUGAAAGAACAUACGCGACGAAAAAUGAAUAUUUCACGGGGUAUGGAUUUUCACACAUAUUUCGAAGAUUUGUACACGUAUCUAGAUCAUGGUGUAGUAAUGUUACACAUUAUAUUGCUUUAUAUAUUUUAGAGAUUAUAUCCGGAAAGGUCGAAAAGCAGAAUUAUCGUGAACUAAAUUUUCGUGUUAGUUUAGAUGUAAGAAUCGUCGGGAGAACAGAGAAUAAUAAUUUUCACACUGCAGCGACUACUGGGAGUGCCUAGAAUUUACACACUGCUCGCUCAGCAUUGGCCUAAAAAGAUACAUGAAGCGUCGACUCACACGAGAGUAAUAUAUGUCGUCAUCAUGUCCGCUUGCAUUUAUUGCACAAUUUAAAUUUGCAUAAACUCGCUUUGAAGGAUCGGUAAAAAAAACUGGACACAUCGACAUCGGUAUGUCAAAUUUUUGGUCGCAGUGCCAAAAAUUUACUCGUGCGAUCGUCAACCGAACCGCGAGUCAAAGCGAACAUCGAAGUUGAACUCGAUCGAGAGGCGAAAACGUGUACGUUAAUGCGUCGCGGAAGCCGCUAAAAUUAACGAGAUAAUGCGCCACGUAAUAACGACAUAAAUAUCCAGUGGUCUCAGCCAGUCGCGAAAAGCGCGUAAUCAGGCUCUCCAACCGGGCCUAACGAAGAGAUGCGUUCCGUGUAAUUAGUAAUUACGGCCUGCAAGCGAGUGAGCGCGACCGGCAAACUGGUUGCGAACGAUCGAUCCAUCGAUCCGACGAUUCGCGAUGCGACGACUCGCAGACAGGAUGUUUAAAUUUAAUAAGACAUUAAUAUAUUUCCAUUCGUUCGACAUUAAAUGGCGAAGGUACCCAAUGCUUACACAAUUAGUAUUACCGAGAAUAAUUAAUGAUUAUAACUAGUAAGAAGAAGGAUGACAGCAGCACAUUAUUGCGAAAGUUUAUGCAUACAAUUAUCCAAUUAAAAUUAUUACUUGGUAUUAUAAUUACCAGCGAGACUAUCAUUAUAUUAUUUAUACCGUUAUAAAAAAUUAAUAAAUCGAGUUUAACCCAAAACUGUUGACUGAGUAAAGAUUUAUUGAAAUACGUUAUUAAAAUAUUCAGCAAUUUUAUUUUUCGCUAUUAUUUUUCUAAAUAAUCGGUGUAAGAAGUAUUUGGUAUCAAGGCGACGGGCAACCUGUCUCAAGCGUGGUAUCGUGAACAUCUCCAGAUCGUGGCGGGCAUGCCGAACGCGCGUCUCGGGACAAGAGAGACCGGCUAUCGCGCAAGAACCGCGUCUAAUCUCGCCCUGAGCGAGCGACCCUGAGAGCGAGAAGCUGAAGGCUCUCCCGCUAUCGGCGCGAGGAACGCUAUCGAGCGGGAAUAACACGCGAGAGUUCGCUUCGUCGGAUUCCUGCGGCGUGUCGUAACAGGCAACAGCGGAUCGACGUCGUCGACCGAGCUCGCUCUCUUUCUCUCUCUUUCUUCCCGAGGGACUAAUUUGUGCGUGCGCGAGGUAAUAUACGUGUAUACGGGGUGUGGCGAGAAAAUGUAACAGGUUCGCAUUCAACCGUGUUGCUUAGUGCGAUUUGUCAUUGUCAGAGAAAAAGAGAGAGAGAAAUUGUAAUGACGUAUAAAUUAUAAAAAUUUAGAAACGCAAAAAGAUUGUUAAAUUAAUAAAAAUCAAUAAAACUAGCAAUAGCAAUCAUUUACAAUCAUCAUAAGAUAUUAAUUACAUAUAGUAUUUAGUAGACUCUUUUUGUUUGGAAAUAGUAAAUCUUGUUCAACCAAAGUUUAACUUUGAAAGUUUCAAAUGACAUAAUAUUAUUCAAUGGGAUCCUUCUCUCUCUUUCUCUCUCUCUCUCAAAUCAAUUCUUUAUGAUUAAAGAUCGUAAUCCCCAUUUAAUGCUCAUGCAUGCUCUAUGGUGACUGUCUUGGCAAAAAUAUUCUCUGUGAUUUGCCAUUGCCUUCUAAGACGUGAUCAAUUAAAAAACUAAUGUUUUAGAUGAAUCUAAACCUUUAGAUCUUUGGCAUAGAAAACAGACGCGCAACUCUUAUAUCACAAUUACCACAUAAAUUACUUUAUAUUGGAUCUCAAUCAUUAAAAUAUUUCAUAUUACAUGGAGAGAUACGGUUUUGCCAAAACAUCUAAAAGUUUAACUAUACAUAUCUGAAAAUAAUUUUAUUGAUCCAUCAAAAUUAUGUGGAACACUCAAGUUAGUUGUUUGCAUGUCAAAACUUUUGCAGCACUGCUUGUCAUGCUUGAGCGUCCUAGAUAAUUAUUUUAGUGGUUCAAGAAAUAUUAUUUUCAGUUCAUUAUUUUUAUAUAUUUCAACAAAAUUAUACUUUUCAUGUAGAAAAAUAAAAGAUUACAGUUUAAAAGAGAAAACGUCGCAUAAAAAUCUCGCUAAAAGAAUAUAGGGUUCAGAUUUUUUUCCAGAACAGCAGUCUGCCGCCAUUUGUUCUGCUAUUUUAGGACACCCUGCUAGUACCUGGAUGCGCGCAUAUGUGCGUGCGUGCAUGCGUACACGCACGGCCGGUCACCCUUGCGUGUCCAACCCUACGAGUAGUGCGGGUUACGUGCCCGGUGUGGGUGUCAUCGUCGAUGUUAUCGGCGGACCCGGGUCUCCCUUCUCUCGACGAGAAAAAUCUACACAGAGCUACAGAACGUUUCACAAGACUUGAAUUUUUCCAGCGAAAAUCUGAUCAACCUUUCCCACAGUUAAAUUGAAUUGUGGCUAAGUGACCUAAAACUUUUUAAUUAAUACUUGGUCCCUGAAGUCUCUUAACCAUAUUAAUUUAUCAUGUAAAUAUUAAAAAAUUUUCUAUAUUAUCACUUCUUAGUCUCAUUAAUUUAACAAUUUCAAUUAAGCAAAUUAGAAUUCUUGUAAAGCGCAAUUCGUUGCGUUAACUGAUGACUUCAAAGUAUAUUUCUGUCGUUUAUUUUUAUUCGCAAAACUCAAUCUUCCAACGAACAUUAAUUUCCAUGUUGAAUAGUUCUAUGAUUGUGACUAAUUGAAAACUUUCGCGGGAAGAAGUCAAUUAAAAAUCCAUUAAAGAAUAGUCCGUAAUAGUCUUUAUACCUUUAUAUAUACUCGCGGCAGAGUCGAUAGACGAGAGACCAGCGGUUCGCGCUAGCUAGCCAGGACUCGUACAUGGGCAACAUAGAGACUCACUUCGUCGCCAUGGGUUCUUUAACCCGCGAGCGCGCGUACGUGUGCGUGCGUCCAGGUGAUCCCGUCGUGACCCCGUGCCGAUCCCCGGUGACGUUAGCCAAGGUUAAGAAGUGAGAAUGAAACUGUGUUCGCAGGAAAUGAAAAAGGAAACACGCGGGUCGAAAAAUUUCCGAUACCGUUCAGCGACUUGUCAGAGAAUAAUUAAAGAGCUUGAUUGAUACUUGCGAAUAAUAGCAAAAAUACGUUUGAGAAAUUUAAGACCGAAUCAACUAGAACAACUAGAACUGGAGAGAUUUAGGUAGUCUAUUUUCUCUUCCUUUUCCCCGUUCCCUUUUCCUUUAACCCACUUUUUCAACAAUUCGAAUUAAUUAUUAAGGUAGAAAAUUAAUGAACUUUUUUAAGUUUCUAAAAGAGUGAACUAGCUUUGCAUUGAAUCCUUUCAACUGUUACAUUUAUGAUAACGCCAAUUCUUGGUUGGCCUUCUAUAAACAGAAUUUAAUUAGAAAGAGGUAAAAAGUUUUACUUUAUAAAUAAAAUAAAAUAUCAUCUUGGCAUGAUUUUAUGACGCGAUCAGCUUUAAAGUAUCGGAAUGGUCACGGUCGACUUCAAAUUUUCUAUAUCGCGAUUAAAUAAAAACAUGUAUGCAAUUAUUAUCGUCGCCAAAGUAAUUUUGUCUCGCGGAAAGAUCCACCACUAUUGCCAUCGAAAGUGUAUUCGCAAAAUUCGUCAAUCGGAAAAUAGAAAGAAGACGUAGGUGAAAACUCGAAUAGUUUUCAGCGAAACGAAAAAUGCGCAUGCGUAUCGCCCGACCUUUCUCAUCGAAUUGCAUGGUUUUACAAAGUAAAUUUACAAAUUAACGAUCGCGGUUUUACAUAACGGUAGAACCCACGCGAUAUCACAUGGCAAUGUGUUCUUGUUCGCGAACAAUGUAAUUAAAGUGUCAUUGAAUUACACAUGCGAUAUUAACGCAUAGCAACAAAGAAAAAAAUAAUAUGAGGAAGUAAUAAUUUGAUUUCUAUGUCUCUUAUUAAUUGUAAAGGAAAUGUAGUUUUCUAACAUAAAGCAUCGAUGUGCUGUUAAACUCUACGACGUGUCGGAACUGGAAUAACCUGAUCUCGUUCUGCAGCUUGAAAGCAAAAAGAAAUGCGUACGCGCAUUCUCAGAUGUAUUUACCUUUCUACUAUCGAGUUGAACAGAAUGACACCGAUCGUUCUACAGCUGGAAGAUCGCGACAAAUCAAACGUACUAUUGGUAGGAAAGCAACCGGUACUUUUCCUCGCGCAACACCGCGAUAUUGAACGCAUCGAUGUAUAACCGGUGGCACAGACGAGGAGAUGGCACGGGUCGCAAAAUGCUGCCGAUGGGAUCGCACUCGGUGACUUCCGUCGACUUCGCUCUAUCGAGGAUCGACCGCAGGAAUCUAGCGUCAAAAGCACACGCUGGGAGAGUUCCUUAGCCGACCGUCUGUAUGCGCAGGAAGAGACACGAGGGACGAGGGAGGAGAAGGAGCGAGAGAAAGAGAUAAGGAAAGGAGAAAAGAACAGAUAGACUAGUAGUCAGGUCCAUCCUGGGUUCGAAGUCCGGCGUGGUCGCGGUAUUGGAGCGCACCGUUCCUCUUCUUUCUCGCUCUCUGCGCUUCUCUCUAUUUCUCUAUUCCCCUCUUCCUCUCUUUUUCUCCUCUCUCUCCGUCGUUCUUCUUCUCCUCUUCUUCUUCUUCUUCGUCGUCGUUGCUCUUUGCCGGGGUAAUUGCACCCUACCAAGGCCGACAGCUGAUGCAGCCACCACCAUCACAUGCGCAUUUGGUGCCUACAAACGUUUGCAGGACGCGCGCGUAUAGGGACACGAGUGGCCGUGAUAGUGGUUGUGACGAUGAUGAUGGUGAUGGUGAUGGUGGUGGAGGCGGCAGCGGCGGCGGCGACGAUGGUAGUGGUGGUGGUGAUGGUGUUCGUAAGUGUGUGAGAGAACUCCUCUUUGUGUUUACGCGCGUUUGCCGGGUCUCUACCUUCAGGUAGAAAACGACGUAAGCUGCACCACCACCUCGACGGGAAGGUAAAACGGGAGGAAGGGAACCACCACACACACCCGGUCCACGGUGCGGUAAACAUCGGCCCCGCCAUCUUUAAACACCCCGCGAUAUUCGUCGCCGCUACGUGUAGGCUCGACGGCGAGCCCUUAAAUAUUUAAUCGCGACGCGGAAACUCCGAACGAGCUGCCCAUGAGUUUGCCGUCGUUAACGGGAAUUGCAGUCGAUAGAAAUUUCACCGGCUCAGAUUUCGAUGGGACAAGGGCAAAGGUCUCUUCUUUCUAUGUCUUCUUUGCCCUCGACAAACGCACUACGCAAAGAAUUCAUUUGUAUUAUAAUUUAUUUAUAUUACAUGCAACAUUGUAGAGUCGAAUAUCUUAAAGUACUUUUUAUAUAUAUAUAUUUUUUUUUAUAAAUUGCUGCAUGUAGAUAUCUACACGACGUUGAGCAAUUAUAUCAAGAUACUCAAGAUAUAAUGUUUUAAUUCCGGUGAUCCUAGCUGUAUGCGUGCACUACUUUUGUGUACCGAUAACGUACGCUGUGUAUAGAAUUAUCGU
RNAcentral lists this long non-coding RNA (19775 nucleotides) under Monomorium pharaonis (pharaoh ant). Its description in RNAcentral is "uncharacterized LOC118646870". The record is from RNAcentral. Lineage: Eukaryota; Metazoa; Arthropoda; Insecta; Hymenoptera; Formicidae.